AACGAACGCUGGCGGCAUGCCUAACACAUGCAAGUCGAACGAGACCUUCGGGUCUAGUGGCGCACGGGUGCGUAACGCGUGGGAACCUGCCCUUAGGUUCGGAAUAACUCCCCGAAAGGGGUGCUAAUACUGGAUAAUGUCUUCGGACCAAAGAUUUAUCGCCUUUGGAUGGGCCCGCGUUGGAUUAGCUAGUUGGUAGGGUAAAAGCCUGCCAAGGCGACGAUCCAUAGCUGGUCUGAGAGGAUGAUCAGCCACACUGGGACUGAGGCACGGCCCAGACUCCUACGGGAGGCAGCAGUGGGGAAUAUUGGACAAUGGGCGAAAGCCUGAUCCAGCAAUGCCGCGUGAGUGAUGAAGGCCUUAGGGUUGUAAAGCUCUUUUACCCGGGAUGAUAAUGACAGUACCGGGAGAAGAAGCUCCGGCUAACUCCGUG
Molecule: ribosomal RNA, 433 nt
Filed under: uncultured bacterium
Lineage: Bacteria
Description: partial 16S ribosomal RNA
Rfam family: Bacterial small subunit ribosomal RNA
Source: RNAcentral